RNAcentral lists this ribosomal RNA (422 nucleotides) under bacterium. RNAcentral describes it as "partial 16S ribosomal RNA". It matches the Rfam family "Bacterial small subunit ribosomal RNA", at positions 355 to 776 of the family's 1533-position model. RNAcentral also lists the same sequence under 2 other names. The record is from RNAcentral.
UGGGGAAUUUUGCACAAUGGGCGCAAGCCUGAUGCAGCGACGCCGCGUGAGGGAUGAAGGCCUUCGGGUUGUAAACCUUUUUCGCUCAUGGUCAAGCCGCAGCUUUGGGUUGUGGUGAGGGUAGUGGGUAAAGAAGCGCCGGCUAACUACGUGCCAGCAGCCGCGGUAAUACGUAGGGCGCGAGCGUUGUCCGGAAUUAUUGGGCGUAAAGGGCUUGUAGGCGGUUGGCCGCGUCUGCCGUGAAAUCCUCUGGCUUAACUGGGGGCGUGCGGUGGGUACGGGUUGACUUGAGUGCGGUAGGGGGGACUGGAAUUCCUGGUGUAGCGGUGGAAUGCGCAGAUAUCAGGAGGAACACCGGUGGCGAAGGCGGGUCUCUGGGCCGUUACUGACGCUGAGGAGCGAAAGCGUGGGGAGCGAACAGG